Molecule: ribosomal RNA, 500 nt
Filed under: uncultured bacterium
Lineage: Bacteria
Description: partial 16S ribosomal RNA
Rfam family: Bacterial small subunit ribosomal RNA
Source: RNAcentral
AUUGAACGCUGGCGGCAUGCCUUACACAUGCAAGUCGAACGGUAACGGGUCCUUCGGGAUGCCGACGAGUGGCGAACGGGUGAGUAAUAUAUCGGAACGUGCCCAGUAGUGGGGGAUAACUGCUCGAAAGAGCAGCUAAUACCGCAUACGACCUGAGGGUGAAAGGGGGGGAUUGCAAGACCUCUCGCUAUUGGAGCGGCCGACAUCAGAUUAGCUAGUUGGUGGGGUAAAGGCCUACCAAGGCAACGAUCUGUAGUUGGUCUGAGAGGACGACCAGCCACACUGGGACUGAGACACGGCCCAGACUCCUACGGGAGGCAGCAGUGGGGAAUUUUGGACAAUGGGCGCAAGCCUGAUCCAGCAAUGCCGCGUGCAGGAAGAAGGCCUUCGGGUUGUAAACUGCUUUUGUCAGGGAAGAAAUCUUCUGGGCUAAUACCCCGGGAGGAUGACGGUACCUGAAGAAUAAGCACCGGCUAACUACGUGCCAGCCGCCGCUGUAA